This 406-nucleotide ribosomal RNA is filed under the name uncultured bacterium. RNAcentral's name for it is "partial 16S ribosomal RNA". It matches the Rfam family "Bacterial small subunit ribosomal RNA", at positions 29 to 526 of the family's 1533-position model. The record is from RNAcentral.
AUUGAACGCUGGCGGCAGGCUUAACACAUGCAAGUCGAGCGAGCGGCGGACGGGUGAGUAAUGUCUGGGAAACUGCCUGAUGGAGGGGGAUAACUUCUGGAAACGGUAGCUAAUACCGCAUACCAUCAGAUGUGCCCAGAUGGGCUUAGCUAGAAGGUGGGGUAAUGGCUCACCUAGGCGACGAUCCCUAGCUGGUCUGAGAGGAUGACCAGCAACACGGGAACUGAGACACGGUCCAAACCCCUCGGGAGGGCAGCAGAGGGGAAUAUGGCACAAUGGGCGCAAGCCUGAUGAAGCCAGGCGGGGUGUGUGAAGAAGGCCUUCGGGUUGUAAAGCACUUUCAGCGAGGAGGCGUUACUCGCAGAGGAAGCACCGGCUAACUCCGUGCCAGCAGCCGCGGUAAUAC